GACGAACGCUGGCGGCGUGCUUAACACAUGCAAGUCGAACGGAAAGGCCCUGCUUUUGUGGGGUGCUCGAGUGGCGAACGGGUGAGUAACACGUGAGUAACCUGCCCUUGACUUUGGGAUAACUUCAGGAAACUGGGGCUAAUACCGGAUAGGAGCUCCUGCUGCAUGGUGGGGGUUGGAAAGUUUCGGCGGUUGGGGGUGGACUCGCGGCUUAUCAGCUUGUUGGUGGGGUAGUGGCUUACCAAGGCUUUGACGGGUAGCCGGCCUGAGAGGGUGACCGGCCACAUUGGUACUGAGAGACGGCCCAGACUCCUACGGGAGGCAGCAGUGGGGAAUAUUGCACAAUGGGCGGAAGCCUGAUGCAGCAACGCCGCGUGCGUGAUGACGGCCUUCGGGUUGUAAACCGCUUUCGCCUGUGACGAAGCGUGAGUGACGGUAAUGGGUAAAGAAGCACCGGCUAACUACGUG
Molecule: ribosomal RNA, 468 nt
Filed under: uncultured bacterium
Lineage: Bacteria
Description: partial 16S ribosomal RNA
Rfam family: Bacterial small subunit ribosomal RNA
Source: RNAcentral